Meriones unguiculatus (Mongolian gerbil) is the source of this 3522-nucleotide long non-coding RNA. RefSeq lists it as uncharacterized. The record is from RefSeq and is a predicted model, not a curated record. The transcript is spliced from 2 exons. NCBI's taxonomy places the organism in Eukaryota, Metazoa, Chordata, Mammalia, Rodentia, Muridae.
CAAAUCUUGCCUUCCUUGGUCAUUGGUAAGAGCUUUGUCUUCAGUCUCCUCCAGGGCUGGCUCCACAGUUACUCUAUUACUUGUAAGAAGUUUCGGACUUUUCCACUGGACCAAUACACACACUUGGAACACAGCAACAACCUUCUUGGCAUGUGACAGUCCAUCUAAUGUUCUUGCUCUUUCUCUAGUUCCCUUUAGAGAUGCUACAACUGCUUCUCUUGUGUGCACUCACUGGUUACCUCCACCCGUUAUUAGCCUUUGAAUUUAGUCCUCUCCUAAAAUUUCUCUCCUGGUUAUCCCUGACAAGAACUAAUGGCACACUUUCAACAUUCAUCUUUGUAGAAACAUCUUUCAUUACUAAACAAUAAGUCUUAAAAUUCCCCUCUUUAACUGAGCAGUACAAUUGGCGUAUUCUGUGACCUCUGAAUAACUCAUGGUCUCCUUUCCUGGUUCACUUCUUUCCCUUCCACUUCUUAUGAUGAAAGUAGACAUCUCCAGCUUUUAUCCUCUGGGCUUCUGUCUUGUUUCAUUCUUUCCCUUGAUGAACGAAUGUGUCACUCAUCAACUACAUGUUCCAUCCUCUGCUAUGUUUUCUAGAAUGGUAAAAAUGCGUCUGAAUAUUUAAAUAUGCUGAACUCAACAGUUCUUUAACCUGCUUGUUUUAUGAAUAAGAUCUGACUUCCUCCUGGUUAUAUUAGUACACGGUUUGAACCAUGGAACUAUUUUUGCUCUUUCUUGCAUCUUACCACUCUCUAAACUUAGCAGUCUGGCUCCUGACCAGAUUUGAGGCUGGUCAUUCAGCCGCAAGACUGGCUCUAAAUUGGAAUGUUCAUGGCAUGCUUUUUCUUUCUCUUUCCUUGUUUUCAUAUUUUCAAAAACAAUUAACAUUGGUAAAAAAAAUCACAUAUAAAAUGUGAAUGUACAUUUAAAAUGUAUACUGUUAACUGGCACACAUUUUGAGCCAGUUACCCCAGUCCUGCUUGCUUAUUGAUUCUCAGGCUGUGGCCAGUCCCUGCCAUCUAACCACACGUAUUUCCUCUGUGUGGUUCAUACACCACCUUCAGACACACAGUUCCUUCUCUGGAUCUAACUUGUGAUUUGUGGCUAUUCUCUGAGACCAUGGCAGACAAUUUAGCCCUUUAUACCAACCGCUUUAGUAAACGUGAUGUUAAUACAGGACAUUUAUAUGAAUUACAGGUUAGUAUAAGGCGAGUUUUUUUUUAACCCCCUGUCCAAAAAUUACAGAUACAAGUUAAUAAGAUUUCUAAGAUCUAAGGUACUUCAUCCUGGCCUGGUCUAGGAUGCUUUUCUGGUGAGCAACAGUUGUGGCAGGGAACAUUUACUUUUCCACCUCUACACUGCUGUCUUUUCAGAGUGAAACGGAAUUUAGAAUCAAGCCAAAAACUGGAGAGGCUGACCUGGCACUCAGAUAUGGACCUGAUUCUCUGCAGUUGCAGACAAUUCUCAGCUGCCAUGUAGGUGCUCAGAAUCGAACCCAUGUCUACCAGAAGAACAGCCAGCCCUUUUACCUUCUGAGCCAUCUCUCCAGCCCCUCCUCAUCUAUCUUAAUAUAAAAUCAUGACAUCUUAAAAAGAAGUGCUCUAUGGUCUGUGAUAGCAAAGGGAGCAUCACACAACAGCGCUCCCACAAUCCUGAGCGCGCGUCUUCGCAAAAUCCCAAACAGUGGAGCCAAGCAUAUGCAGCCGUGUUACAAAAUUCUGUGACGUCCAGCGUUCAAGCAGAACCUUUCAGUAAGUUGCUGAGAGGAGGUUGGGGCAGAGACCAUGUUUACAUCACUCCUGGCACAUGGAGUGGCAGGCAAAUGCAUGAGGGGAGACAUUGCCAGUUUACGUGUUGUGUCCAGCGUAGAAUUUCCCAGAGUGGCCGACAGUCCUUUGGACUCGCUGUUGGAUCCUUGAAUUCUGGUAUCUUUCACCAGUUUUCCACCUUCCCUCCCGCUUCCUCUCUCCCACUUAAAAGAUGAGUACUUCCUGUGUGGCUGAGAGGAUUAAAACAAUCUUCCCUGUUAGGAGGGGUGGUUUCCGCUGGACACUCUGAGAACUAACUGAAGGGGAACUAACUGAAGGGAAUGUGUUUUUCUCCCCAGCCAUAGGAAACAGUAAAAGCCUACAACAGAACUUCAUAGUUCAUAUAAAACGUUCAACAUACCCUGUGCCGCAGAGAAAAGAACUCAGAAUUUUGAUAUCAGUCUGAAUUGACCAGUAUUUAUGUUCUAGCAUCUUUAGACACUACCAUUUAUUGCCAAGUUUUGAUUCUGGGAGCAAGAAAAUGGCAUCCAGUUCUGGCUCGCCGUAUGGAAUGGGCUUGCCAUUUGCAUAUGUAAAGCCUUCCUCAUCUGUAGCUUCUGGGAGUAUGAACAGCAAUGGGCAAGGCUCUCAGGGGAGGAAAAGUGUUGCUUGGGGUCAUCUGCCAAGGACAGCCAAUGUUUCAGCCUUAGAAACACGCAAUACAAGGGAAGAUACGGAGUCCAUGGAGACUGACCAGCCAAGUGGCUCUCAGAAGGAGCAGGAGAACAGAACGAGUGGUAAGAUACGUCUGUAUGCUAAAGGGAAAGCCGCUAACUUCUUCGCUGUGGGCAUGAUUCUUAAAUGCCAGGCAUGCUCUCCCCCAUUCUUCUUACCACUUGGGCCCUGAAUGAGUGAGAUAAGGGCUUCUCUGAGUUUACAGGUAUGUGCCUCUAUCUGAUAGCCAAGCCUGAGAUUCAACAAGAACUGGAGCUGACCUCAGCUGUCCUGGAGACACAGGAAGACCCAUGUGGAGUGUGUCUAUUCUCCAUCCUAAUCCAUCUGUGUGGUUUGUGGAGCCAUGGAUUUGGGGAGAGACUCUAGAUAAACCGCUUAUGAAUGCUAAGAGAAAGGACAAAAGCAAGAACAGCCUUCCUCCCUCCUAUGGUUUGGAUCACAGUUAAUAAGUGUAGGCUAAGGAACCCAUCCCCUUCUCUCUGCGAGUAUAAUUAUGAGGACUGGAUAAGGAGUGGACAGAAAAAUAUCUCAACCCCUAAGUCAGUGCUUGCGUUCUACCCCAUAUCCGGCAGGUGCUUCUUUGGGCUGGACUCUGCCCAGAGGAGAACAUGAGUGCUCGGAUGACACAAGCAGGUUCCAGGCUGGCUGCCACACGCUUUUUCACGGUGACUCACUGCAGAGGUGACAUGCAUACAAGAAUACAGGCACAAGUGGACAGCUGGGGAUGUAAACAGGAGCGGAGGCCGGAACAGAGGCAGCGAGGGCUGUCAUUGAUACUACAGGAAGAAGAGAAAGAAGAUUGAAGUGGACACUGAAAUUGGGGCAUUUGGGCAUUGAAAAAGAGGACACAAUGGGAAGGUCCAUAGAUUAUCCAAUAGUGACUCUCAUUUCUAAGCAAGAGCAGGGAACAUAAUGCUCUAUAAGUGGCUUUCGACAUCCUGGUGUGGGAACUUACCUACAGAACAUUAUUACAAAACUGAUAUUAAAGAAUACUUACCUAUGCAAUUAAUAAAUCGCCUAUUUUUGUCUAACCUCUAAA